Long non-coding RNA from Amblyraja radiata (thorny skate), 544 nucleotides. RefSeq lists it as uncharacterized. The transcript is spliced from 3 exons. Lineage: Eukaryota; Metazoa; Chordata; Chondrichthyes; Rajiformes; Rajidae. The record is from RefSeq and is a predicted model, not a curated record.
GGGAUAGAGAUGGAGACAUGGGACAAAUGAAUGAAAGAUGUGCAAAAAAGUAACGUUGAUAAAGGAAAACAGGCCAAUGUUAGCUGUGGCCAAUCAGGUGAAAAUGAGUUACUGACAAUGAGUCUCAACACGAUGGCUUUGAAGCUCGUAAAGAGGGAGAAUGCCCUCCUUUUGUUCCUUCCUCCCUGCUCGAGGAGUCUUGUGUAGUGCAGCCAUUGCAAUAGGUCUUCAACUACUUGGCAAUUUACCCAGCACUUUCAUGGAGAACAAAAGCAGAUGACAAAACAAGGGACUGCCGAUGCUGGUUUAUACCAAAGAUAGACACAAAGUGCUGGAGUAACUCAGCGGGCCAGGCAGCGUCUCUGAAGAAAUCGGUUGAGUGACAUAUCGGGUUGGGACCCUUCUUCAGACUCAAAAACUGGAAAAACUCAAAGACUGAAGAAGUGCUAUUCAAAAAAGCUGGCAUCUUAUGUAAUCGUUGCACCCCACCACUCCUCAAAUCUCAUUCCAUCUAACGAUCCUUUCAGAAUAUGGUUUGUCUUAA